This is an RNA transcript of Zootermopsis nevadensis, 1420 nucleotides long. RefSeq lists it as uncharacterized. Lineage: Eukaryota; Metazoa; Arthropoda; Insecta; Blattodea; Termopsidae. The record is from RefSeq and is a predicted model, not a curated record.
UCAUAUGAGUGACACAGAUGGCAGCUGCUUGCAAUAGAUUAUUUUGUGUUUACCUGCGUUUGGAUAAGGUCGGAUACAUAUUUGAUCUGCAUCUAUUUUUGUUUCCUCUGUAAGCACUGUGAAUAAUUUGUUAAACUUAUAAUGAAAUAUGGUUUUCCGAUCUACAAAUUAUGUUCAAAAAUUAGUACCAAUUAAACUGAUCGUCAAUCUAGAAAGCCGUGCCGCAACAAAUAUUCGUUUUUGACCAAAAGAUUUUAGGACCUGUUUAUAUUUCUGUCAGUAUUCUCACAAACAGAUGAUAUAUGAGGGAAUGGCACUCUUCAUGCAGGUCAAACUGAAGAUACACUGGAGAUCAGUUGGUCAAAUGUCCUCUAGUAAUUGGAAUAAAAACUAUUUCUGUUCAUUUGCUAAAAGCAAUUAUGUAACCCAUUUGUAGUAUGUUUGACAAAGCUUCAGUAGUUAAUACAACAUAUGUUUACCUAUUUGACACUUAUUGCCAUAUUUUUUGUGGAAAUAGUGUAAUUUAUGAACAAAGUGCAUCAUGAUGCACACAUCAUGUAACCAAUGUGGAAAGAGUUUUGGAGAAUGCGGUACUCUUAAGAGACAUAUGAGAACACACACGGGAGAAAAACCGUUUUCAUGUACUCAAUGUGGGAAAAGCUUUGGAGAGUGUGGUACACUAAAGAGGCAUAUGAGAACACACACAGGGGAGAAACCAUUUCCUUGUACUCAAUGCGGAAAGAGCUUUAUUGAUUGUGGAACGUUAAAACGACAUUUGAGGAUUCAUACAGGUGAAAAGCCAUUUACGUGUCAACAAUGUGGGAAGAGCUUUGGUGAAUGUGGAACCCUAAAGAGACAUACAAGGACACAUACUGGAGAAAAACCAUUUUCUUGUAAUCAGUGUGGUAAAAGUUUUAGUGAGUGUGGGGCUUUAAAGAGACAUACGAGGACACACACUGGAGAGAAACCGUUUUCAUGUAAUCAGUGUGACCGAAGCUUUGGUGAGUGUGGAACACUAAAGAGGCACAUGAGAACGCAUACGGGAGAAAAGCCGUUUUCUUGUACGAAUUGCGGGAAGAGUUUCAGUGAGUGUAGUACUCUUAAAAGACAUAAGGAUGCGCACUGAUCAAGGCUUCCCGCAAUAUAAGCAUGAUAGAAGAUUCUGCUAAUGAGAUUGCCAUGCCAGACUCUAGAACUCUGCAUAAUUUGAUUUCACAACAAUUUUAUUGGUUUUGUAUGUAUGGGGUGUGUAAACUUCAGUGUCACCGGGCUCCACAGAAGAAGAUAAUUCCAGUUACAGCAGAUCAAAAUAUGUUGAGUUACCAGCAGUAAGAACAUAUGGUGAAGAGUGUAAGGCAAAAAAUCCCUAUAUAAAUCACUGUAGUUUGGUUUUUAAGAGCUGAAUGCAUAUUUAAUCUCG